UAGCAUAUCAAUAAGCGGAGGAAAAGAAACUAACAAGGAUUCCCCUAGUAACUGCGAGUGAAGCGGGAAAAGCUCAAAUUUAAAAUCUGGCAGUCUUUGGCUGUCCGAGUUGUAAUCUAGAGAAGUGUUAUCCGCGCUGGACCGUGUACAAGUCUCCUGGAAUGGAGCGUCAUAGAGGGUGAGAAUCCCGUCUUUGACACGGACUACCAGGGCUUUGUGAUGCGCUCUCAAAGAGUCGAGUUGUUUGGGAAUGCAGCUCAAAAUGGGUGGUAAAUUCCAUCUAAAGCUAAAUAUUGGCGAGAGACCGAUAGCGAACAAGUACCGUGAGGGAAAGAUGAAAAGAACUUUGGAAAGAGAGUUAAACAGUACGUGAAAUUGCUGAAAGGGAAACGCUUGAAGUCAGUCGCGUCGUCCAGGGAUCAACCUUGCUUUUGCUUGGUGCACUUUCUGGUUGACGGGUCAGCAUCAAUUUUGACCAUUGGAAAAAGAUCAAGGGAAUGUGACAUCUUUGGAUGUGUUAUAGCCCUUGGUUGCAUACGAUGGUUGGGAUUGAGGAACUCAGCACGCCGCAAGGCCGGGUUUUUAACCACGUACGUGCUUAGGAUGCUGGCAUAAUGGCUUUAAUCGACCCGUCUUGAAACACGGACCAAGGAGUCUAACAUGCCUGCGAGUGUUUGGGUGGAAAACCCGAGCGCGUAAUGAAAGUGAAAGUUGAGAUCCCUGUCGUGGGGAGCAUCGACGCCCGGACCAGACCUUUUGUGACGGUUCCGCGGUAGAGCAUGUAUGUUGGGACCCGAAAGAUGGUGAACUAUGCCUGAAUAGGGUGAAGCCAGAGGAAACUCUGGUGGAGGCUCGUAGCGAUUCUGACGUGCAAAUCGAUCGUCAAAUUUGGGUAUAGGGGCGAAAGACUAAUCGAACCAU
This 921-nucleotide ribosomal RNA is filed under the name uncultured Cortinarius. RNAcentral describes it as "eukaryotic LSU rRNA". It matches the Rfam family "Eukaryotic large subunit ribosomal RNA", at positions 36 to 943 of the family's 3401-position model. Lineage: Eukaryota; Fungi; Basidiomycota; Agaricomycetes; Agaricales; Cortinariaceae. The record is from RNAcentral.